This 696-nucleotide long non-coding RNA is filed under the name Malus domestica (apple). RNAcentral's name for it is "long non-coding RNA (MDOM_LNC019441)". The record is from RNAcentral. Lineage: Eukaryota; Viridiplantae; Streptophyta; Magnoliopsida; Rosales; Rosaceae.
UAAGAUGAUGAAUAUGAGUACUCGAGAGCAAGGCUAGGUAAGCAAUCAGGAUGGGGUUCCAGGCAAUCGGUUCCAGAUCUGAAGAUUGAUACCAAGUGCUGGUUGAUUGCUCUAUUUCUCCUUGUCCCAAAACAAUGACAAGGAGAAGAACAGGGAGAAAGCAUGAUAUGAGAUACUCUUGCUUUCAACCUUCACGAUAUGAAAUACUUUUUCUUUCGAUGGGUUGUUUGCAGAGGUACCCCAAGGAAUAAGGAACACUGAGUGACUCGAGAAGGUUUGUUGGAAAGGCAUUCUCGGAGAAGAAAAGGGUUAUGUAUGUUUUCCUUGCAAUGGAGGGUGAAGGGUGACAUUUAUAGGAAUUAAUAACCGGUACUAUUCUUUCACUCUUGUCAGCAAUCGUUGGAUGAUUUAAUAGUAAACUUCACGUGCUUUCUACUUCACAAGAGAUCUUCGAUAGAUUGCCCGUAAUUUUCGCAAGGCUGAGUGUGCAUGUGACAGGCUCUGACACGUCUGGAAAAGCAAGUGCCUCUUCGAUAUCUGGAAUCGACGCUUCGACAAACUACCCGUGAUUUUUGCAAAGCUGACUCUGCAUGUGACAGAUGCUGACACGUCUGGAAAAGCAGAUGCCUCUCUGAUAUCUGGAAUUGGCGCUUCGACAAACUGCCUGUGAUUUCCACAAAGCUGACUCUGCAUGUG